GAGAUAAUAGCUCACCUAGGCUACGAUCUCUAGUUGGUCUGAGAGGAUGACCAGCCACACUGGAACUGAGAUACGGUCCAGACUCCUACGGGAGGCAGCAGUGGGGAAUAUUGCACAAUGGGGUAAACCCUGAUGCAGCUAUACCGCGUGUGUGAAGAAGGCCUUAGGGUUGUAAAGCACUUUCAGCGGGAAAGAAAGUGAUAUUAAUUAAUAAUUAAUAUCAAUUGACGUUACCCGCAAAAGAAGCACCGGCUAACUCCGUGCCAGCAGCCGCGGUAAGACGGAUCUGCAAGCGUUAAUCGGAAUUACUGGGCGUAAAGCGUAUGCAGGCGGUUUAUUAAGUCAGAUGUGAAAGCCCUGGGCUUAACCUAGGAAUUGCAUUUGAAACUGAUAUGCUAGAGUCUCGUAGAGGGGGGGAGAAUUCCAAGUGUAGCGGUGAAAUGCGUAGAGAUUUGGAAGAAUACCAGUGGCGAAGGCGCCCCCCUGGACGAAAACUUACGCUCAAAUACGAAAGCAUGGGGAGCAAACAGGAUUAGAUACCCUGGUUGUCCAUGCUGUAAACGAUGUCGAUUUGAAGGUUGUAGCCUUGAGCUAUAGCCUUCGAAGCUAACGCAUUAAAUCGACCGCCUGGGGAGUACGACCGCAAGGU
Molecule: ribosomal RNA, 649 nt
Filed under: Candidatus Palibaumannia cicadellinicola
Lineage: Bacteria; Pseudomonadati; Pseudomonadota; Gammaproteobacteria
Description: bacterial SSU rRNA
Rfam family: Bacterial small subunit ribosomal RNA
Source: RNAcentral